UUGUGCAUGUCGUAGUGGUUUGAGUGUUGGGACUAUGACUCUGGAGACCAGGGUUCGAAUCCCUGCUCAAAUA
RNAcentral lists this transfer RNA (73 nucleotides) under Phrynosoma platyrhinos (Desert horned lizard). RNAcentral's name for it is "tRNA-OTHER". The record is from RNAcentral. Lineage: Eukaryota; Metazoa; Chordata; Lepidosauria; Squamata; Phrynosomatidae.